RNAcentral lists this ribosomal RNA (301 nucleotides) under uncultured bacterium. Its description in RNAcentral is "partial 16S ribosomal RNA". It matches the Rfam family "Bacterial small subunit ribosomal RNA", at positions 509 to 809 of the family's 1533-position model. The record is from RNAcentral.
CAGUCGCCACGGUAAUACGUAGGGUGCGAGCGUUGUCCGGAAUUAUUGGGCGUAAAGAGCUUGUAGGUGGUUUGUCGCGUCUGCUGUGAAAAUCCGAGGCUCAACCUCGGACUUGCAGUGGGUACGGGCAGACUAGAGUGUGGUAGGGGAGACUGGAAUUCCUGGUGUAGCGGUGUAAUGCGCAGAUAUCAGGAGGAACACCGAUGGCGAAGGCAGGUCUCUGGGCCAUUACUGACACUGAGAAGCGAAAGCAUGGGGAGCGAACAGGAUUAGAUACCCCUGUAGUCCCUGUCUCUUAUAU